UCCCGUCUCUCUGGGCAUCUCCGCCACUCGCCAGGGCUGGAGCUGCAACCCUGCUGACAAAUCCACUGGGCAAAGAAGGCUGCGAGCCAACCUUCAGGUGAACCUGAAGCCCAGGCCCCCGACCGCUGCAGGCACGAGGGACCCUGUGCGGACCCGCCCACUUAGAGCGUCACAGGACCGCAGGGCGCAUGGCCUUGGCGAGCAGGGACACCAUGGAGGGAGGGCGCGCAGUGCGGUGUCCUAGAGGAUGAAGCCACGCCACUGCGCCAGGACAGAUGGUGCUCCCGGACUAUGGGAGGCGACGUCGCACCGGAGCUCGCCUGGUUCUCACCUUGAUGUAGCCAGCCAGAAGAACAACGGACGCCCAGAGCCUGAGUAGCAGCAAGACAGGAAGCUUGCCGGUGGCCGCCAUCCCUGGCCUGGUCGCCGUGGCCUGGGCUCUCCUACACUCAUGCACAGCCGGACCAGAGCGUCUCCAUACCAGCAUCAAAAACCUUCUGAAGCCGGCUCACCGCCGCUCUGGUGGGUUUUAACCGACUUCAACAGACUUCACAAAACCACGCCCUUCUUCAACAGGAUCCAAUACAAGCAGGCAUAACUAGCCUAACUUGCCGCCCCUUGUUUAACCAAGGCCCAAUCAGAGCAUGGAUGCACCGUCUCCCCUCCCGGCCCAGCGCGUGCCCCCGCAUGGCCCCGCCCCAAGACACGACAGCCCCGCCCCCGCUCUGGACUCAAGGCUGGGGAAUCAGGAGUAUUGGGGGCAGACCAUGGGCCGCUGUUCCUAAGGCCUGAGGCUCCUGCGUGGUUAUCUAUUGGGGUGGCUCUCCAUCAUCCACCUUCAGCCUAGGGAUUCAGGCACGCCCCACUCCCCCGUCCCUGCGGGAUAUUUUCCGAUUCCUUUGGGUACAGCUCUCUUUGGAGCUUCUGGAAAAUGUUUUAAUUAAAAAACAGGAUGAAUUGUUGGGAGGUCCGGACAGUUAGGAGGGGCUUAGUGAAUCAGUUUCAAGGAUAUCCUGAAAUUGUUUUAAAUUGCUGAAGGAGCUUUCCCAAAGGAUACAAUGUUUCAAUCUACCCUCCUGUUACCCUACAGGGGGGAAGGCUCCAUCUACACUGCUACAGCUUUUUCAGGGAAGCAUUAAUGUUUUGGGGGGUCAAAGGUCUCCAAUUGUAGCCUGCUGGGGAAAGAGCUCACACACCACCAGUUAGUAACCCCUUUUCUACCCUCUGUAAGGAAGUGCAAUAAACUCCCUGAGGCCCCACAGUGAACUCUAGCCUCAUACCUCAGUUUGUCACUGUGACUUUGGGAAUGGAGAAUAGACCUUGUUUACCACGACCCAAGGGAAGGAAUUUUAGCUAUAUGUGUUUAGCUCAGUACACAGUCCUUAAGUAAGUGCCUGGUUCAGAAUGGUAGAAUCAUUGUUUAGAAGAUUAGAAAAAAGGGACCAGAGAUGGCAAUAGGACAAUAGUAGCUCACUAUUGAGCAGCGAUUUUUAAAUUUACAAAUUUCUUUUGUAUACAUUCUCUGGUUUCAUAUUCAUAUGGACCCUGUACAGCUCAGUUACUUCAUUCCUAGGAAAAUAACCUAGGCUGAAAAUAAAUAUUUUAAAUG
Rattus norvegicus (Norway rat) is the source of this 1609-nucleotide non-coding RNA. The record is from RefSeq and is a predicted model, not a curated record. Lineage: Eukaryota; Metazoa; Chordata; Mammalia; Rodentia; Muridae.